Molecule: transfer RNA, 76 nt
Filed under: Oscillospiraceae bacterium
Lineage: Bacteria; Bacillati; Bacillota; Clostridia; Eubacteriales; Oscillospiraceae
Description: tRNA-Ala
Rfam family: tRNA
About the family: Transfer RNA (tRNA) molecules are approximately 80 nucleotides in length.
Source: RNAcentral
GGGCUCGUAGCUCAGCUGGGAGAGCGUACGGUUCGCAUCCGUAAGGCCGAGGGUUCGAUCCCCUUCGAGUCCACCA